UCGGAUUUAUCUGCAUUAAUUUGGGCAAAAAUUAAGCUUUACAGAUAAAUUGUUGAGUGUUCUUUUGGUUUAGGUGUACGGUCCUAGUAUGCUACCGACACUGAAUCUUACCGGCGAUGUUUUGCUGGCGGAACACUUAUCGCCGUUGUUGGAUAAGUUGGGACCAGGUGAUGUAGUCCUCGUUCGCUCACCUGAUAACCCUAGAAAGACUGUUACUAAACGCAUUGUUGGCAUGGAAGGCGAUACUGUCACUUUUCUAGCCAACAUGCGUUUAAGUCCUCGUUCGCUCACCUGAUAACCCUAGAAAGACUGUUACUAAACGCAUCGUUGGCAUGGAGGGCGAUACUGUCACUUUUCUAGCCGACCCUGCUAGAAGUGACCGCCAUGUCACCUUAAAGGUGUGCUCUUUUCCUAUGUAAUAAUAUCCUUUUCAAUUCUUGGAUCGAUUACUGAUAGUUGUCAAGUUAGGAGCCAUAGUUCAACUGAUUUUUUUAAUUGGUUAAUUAUAAAACCAUAUGUCUACUCUACAAUAUAGCACGAGUCAUUGUUGUAGUGAAGAAGUUAUAGGAAGGCAUAAACAAAAAUGUCUUAGGAUACGUUCUUCUAACACAGUUUAUUUAACACUCGUGGCUGCAUAAUUUAUAUUCUUGAUGAUUUUUUUAAUAUUCCACUAUAGUCCAAUGUAGUCAUUGGGAUGCAGAUUUACUGUUUUAAUCUUCCUAAUGUUCUGUGUCUUUCUCCUUCCUUAUUGAUGCAAAAGUCUGUCCUCCCUCAGAUUUCUACUAAGUUUGAAAAACUGAUAGCGCACAUAGUUUCUGCAGUGAAUGCUCCUAACUCUUGACGUCUCUUUGCUUCUAUUUAAGCAAAUGCGAGAAAAGGCUGUACCUUUGCUCUUUAGACUUCCUAAUUUCCCCCUUCCAUAGAGCACCAAACAUAUGUAUGAUAC
RNAcentral lists this long non-coding RNA (946 nucleotides) under Nicotiana benthamiana. Its description in RNAcentral is "long non-coding RNA (NBEN_LNC015306)". The record is from RNAcentral. Lineage: Eukaryota; Viridiplantae; Streptophyta; Magnoliopsida; Solanales; Solanaceae.